UUUUCGCUAGCGCCGGAGGCUAACUAGCUCGCUAACAAGCAAGCUAACAAUAUCUUCGAAUGGGUGCAGUAACUGUUCUUCGAUUCGAUUGGGGUUAUUACCGACAAACACCGACAUGAAACGACAUGAGCGGGUCCACCCAGCAGAUAUAAGCGUUACUUUAUGCGGAUGACUCUGAGACAGGAGACUGUGUGUCGGCUUGUAAGUUAGUUUCGCUAGCGGGCUAGCGAUGCUAACUGAAACCUGAGAAACCUGAGUGUUUAAAGUCACAUCUGCAUUGCAAGAGCAGCUGUUCAAAGGAGCAUUACGUGUCCUAAAGCUCUUUCUUCAGAGUAGUGUUGUAACGUGUUACAGUGAAAAGUAACCGUGUCUCCCACCUUCAGUAUUUAAAUCGUUAAUCUCAGACAGACUUCACUGAAUUCUUUUGUUAAAUAUGAGUAAAUCAUAGCCUUGUAACUUUACUAGAACAGACAGUGUCAUACAGAAUUGUAGGCUAAUAUGCACUACCUAUUUCCUAAGCUGAAAUGAUUAUGAUCUGAUUAACUUUGAAUUAAUAUUUUAUUAUUACCAUGUAAAAGUCUGUUAAGCAGAUAACAUGGCACAUGUAUGACUUAACAUAUCUGUGUAUUUGUGUUCAAUGUUCCUCUAGGAUGUCCAGCGUGAGACACAACUUGAAUCCAACCAGACUGAACACUGACUCCAGGGACGGACGAGCCUGAAGGACACAGCUGUGAUGACCAAUUGACCAUGUUUUGUCUCUUAUGGCAAAGCAGAAAUAUUAAACACUGGGUUCUUAUCUAAAGUGUAUCAAAUCAGAAAGCAAAAGAUACACAUUGUUGUUAUAAGUUUUUAUUAUUUUAACCAACCAUAAUGAAGAUAGAAAUGAAUUCUUAUCCAUGCCACUUAGCAAUGACUGCCACCACCAAACAGUUGCAGGCCAUCUUUAUUUAAGGGAGGAAUUUAGAAGUGUUGUGUAGCUUCUGAUGAUGAUGCAGUCGUCCACGUGUUGACCACCAUGUUGCUGCUGACGACGUCAGGUGCUGCAGUUCCUCAUCUAUAAAGAGAAGAAACGCACUGUUAAAGAAUGUUUUGAGUUGUGUAUGAAGCACAACAGAUUUCAGAUAGAACCGUUGUACUGUGGUCUGGGUUUGUAUCCUAAUGGUUAAAUGCACAUAUUUUAAGUCGCUUUUGAUAAAAGUACUGAAAGAAAUACAACAUUGUAAAAAUAGAUAAAAUGUCUUUCUACCUCAUCUGUAAUAUUCAAGGUGAUAAUCUCCCACAGAGCUAUUGAUAACAGUCCACAUCAAGUCUCUCCACUUCCCUCAGUGUGAAAACAUAAUUAUAUAAUUAAUUUGAGAACUGUUUACAACACUGAUGUGUGGAGAUUAAAAUCAUAUCUAAACUG
Long non-coding RNA from Pleuronectes platessa (European plaice), 1405 nucleotides. RefSeq lists it as uncharacterized. NCBI's taxonomy places the organism in Eukaryota, Metazoa, Chordata, Actinopteri, Pleuronectiformes, Pleuronectidae. The record is from RefSeq and is a predicted model, not a curated record. The transcript is spliced from 2 exons.